AGAUAUUGGUAGGUCAAAUGAAGAU
This 25-nucleotide non-coding RNA is filed under the name Rattus norvegicus (Norway rat). Lineage: Eukaryota; Metazoa; Chordata; Mammalia; Rodentia; Muridae. The record is from RNAcentral.